UCGUCAAAUCGAAGAUUAAGUGGUCGAUUUGUGCGUGGGUGCUUGAUUUUCGUGGGAAGGAAAGGGGUUUUCUUCAUUUCAGACAUUUCUUCUUCGUAAGGUAUGAAAUCUCAUGUUCUUACCAUGUAUUCUUAAUUUUUUACCGUAUAAUCGUAGAUUGGAAGACUUUGAGUGUUUUUCAUUAAGUUUACCAUAAGAUUUCGUUUUUUUUUUUUUGAAGAUAUGGAUCCUACAUGGCAAUGGUGCGAAAGGGUGAAGGAGAAUAAUCGUUUGAAACUCAAAUGUGGCUUCUGUGGGAAUACACUUUCAGGAGGGAUUAUUAGAAUGAAACACCAUUUGGCAGGGACCUCCAAAGAUGCGUCUCCUUGUGUUGGAGGACCAAACAAACCUUUGCCUCCAUUUGUGCGUCAACAAUGUUUAGAUAUGCUUCAUGCUUUACGUCAAAAGAGAAUACAAAAAGAAAUUGAAGAUGCAGAUGUAGGCUAUAAUGUGCCUUUGGAAGAUGAAGAAGAAGAGGAAGAAGCUUAUGAAUGUGAUGAUGAAGACGAUAGCAGUCUAAGAACAGAUUUGGAGACCUCAAGAGGUAGAGAUCGUAGAGCAAAAGGGAUUAUGUAUGAAGGAGGUCGAUCUGGCAUAACGGGAAGGAAGAGGAGAGGCACAACAGAUGUUAGGGCCAGGCGUGGUAUGCGACCACCUAGUGGUAGAGUUCCUACUGGUAGGUCUAGUGUUGGCUCUAUUAAGAGUUUUUUCCCUUCAUAUACCAGCCCAGGUGGUCAGCCGCAGAUUCGUGCUGCUAUGACAUCUAAAGAUAUGCUAUAUCAUGCACAAAAGCAGGUAGGGAAAUGGUUUUAUGAUGCAUGUAUUCCAUUUAAUGCAGCUAAUUCUUUUCAAUUCCAAGCCAUGGCAGAUGCAAUUGCUUCUAUAGGCCUCGGAUUCAAAAUGCCAUCAUAUCAUCAGUUGAGGGGUAAAAUUCUUCAGGAUACAGUCAAAGAAGUGUCUGAGCAUUGCGAUGAGUUGAAAUUAUGUUGGAAGGAAACAGGUUGCUCCAUUAUGUCAGAUGGUUGGACUGAUACAAGGUCAAGAACACUUGUAAAUUUUCUUGUUUAUUGCCCUAAAGGUACAAUGUUCUUGAAAUCUCUUGACUUGUCUGAUGUUCCUAAGACUGCUGAGAUUUUAUUCAAUGUUUUUGAUAAUGUCGUACAAGAAGUUGGACCUGCAAACAUUGUAUAGUUUAUUACAGAUAAUGCUGCAAAUUAUAGAGCUACAGGAGAUUUGUUAUUUCAAAAGUAUAGAACAUUUUAUUGGAGUCCAUGUGCCACUCAUUGUGUUAAUCUAAUGCUUCAAGAUCUUAGUGAGAUGCAUGAUAUAAAAUCAGCCAUUGACCAAUGUCAAGAGUUAACAAAAUUUAUCUAUAAUCAUGCAUAUGUAUUGAGUUUGAUGAGAAAAUUUACAAAAGGAGUUGAAUUAAUACGACCUGCACAAACUAGAUUUGCCACAAAUGUAUUGACUGUGCAGAGUGUGGUGAAACAAAGAACUCCUUUGAGACAGAUGUUUGCUAGUGAAGAAUGGGCUGCAUAUCCACAUGCUCAUAAAAGAAAUGCUUCUUUAGUUGUGGAUAUUAUAUUCAAUAACGUAUUUUGGGAAUCAUGUGUGAAGCUACUGAAGGUUUGUGUUCCAUUAGUUAAGGUUCUCAGGUUGGCUGACGGCGAGGACAGACCUUCCAUAGGGUACUUAUAUGAGGCUAUGGACAAAGCAAAAGUGACAAUUCGAGACAACUUAAAGGAAAAGAAAAAGUUAUAUAUGCCCAUAUGGAAGAUUAUAGAUAAAAGGUGGACUGGACAGCUUCAUCAACCUCUUCAUGCAGCAGCUUAUUAUCUAAAUCCUGCAAUUAGAUUUUCUCCUACAUUUAAGAAGGACAGAGAAGUCAUGCAUGGUUUGUUAGAUUGUAUUAAUGUGUUAGUGGAAGAUUCUACAGAACAAGAUGCUGUGCACAAUGAGUUGGAUCUAUAUGAUAGUUGUUUUCGGAACAUGUGACUACCUGUCGCCGUUCGAGCCAGGACAACGAUGCGUCCAGGUAAAUACAUAGAAAUUUUUAAUUUACUUUGCAUUUGUUACAUUUGAUUCUUUUAAAACUUUCACAUUGAUUUGUUAUAUUUUUGUUUAGAUUUGUGGUGGAAUAGGUAUGGGUUUGAUUGUCCAAACCUAGCACGUUUUGCAGUCAAAGUCCUCAGCCAGACAUGCAGUGCUAGUGGAUGCGAAAGGAACUGGAGUGUGUUCCAACAUAUCCAUAGCAAAAAAAGGAAUAGGCUUGAACAUAAAAGGUUGAAUGACCUUGUCUUUGUUCGAUAUAAUAUGAGGUUGAAACAAAGAGAAUUAGAAAAAUCAUUAGCAAGGAAGCACACAUCUCAGUUCGAUCCUAUCAGCUUGGAAAAUUUUGACGAUCUAGAGCCAUGGAUUGAAGAAGAACCAGCUACAAUAUUUGAUGAUGAAGAUCUUGAAUGCUUCAACCUUGAAGCUGAAGCAACAGAAGGCUUUGUUGAUGAAGGAGAGUCUGCUACUGCUGGUGCUGGUGCUGAAUAUGUUGGUGAAGAUCUUCCAAUUCUUGACGAUGAAGAAGAAGAAGAAGAUGAAGAUGAAGAUUAUGAAUGAUGAAUCAUGAAUGAGAGUCAAGUCAAGAGUGCUUUCAUUUUAUAUGUAUCAAAAACUUAAGAGUUAUGAAUCUAUGGUUGUUGAACACUUGAUUGAAUGUUUUAUGACUUUAUCACUUUAUGGCUUAUGGCCUUAUGCUUUGUUGAAUGAUAUUGUAUUAUUGUUAUGAAUUUUGAUGUUUAUGAAUGAUGAACGCGUAAGUUUAUAGCAAUAAUAAGUCUAUCAUUAUCUCAAACAUGUUUUCUAUGAACAAUUUAUUAUUUUUAAUUUUUUCUGAUUUAUUAAUAAUUUUUUAAAAAAAAUUACGAUACGGUUACGAUACGUUACGAUACAGCGUAUCUUAAAGCCCGACCGAUACGGCUUACGAUACGCAUUUUACAACAUUGGCUCGAAGUGAAAAUCAAGAAGAUCCAACACAGUCAUCACGAAAGCAAUAAUGAAGAACAGAGCAACGAUGCACAUCGGUAUUGGGGUCUUAUCUACAGUCGACGACUAAGGGACAGAGAUGCUCACAGUGAACAAGACAACAUGACCCACCUUAGAAGAUCCCAACGCAUUCGUCAUCCCAUUCACAGGUGGGUUAGCUAUGAUUCUUUAUCACUUGAUUUUCAGUUAUUCAUGGCAAAAGUUGACAAGGAGGAAGAACCUACUUCAUUUGAUCAAGCAUCAAAAUCACAUCAUUGGAGAAAUGCUG
This is an RNA transcript of Nymphaea colorata (pocket water lily), 3343 nucleotides long. RefSeq lists it as uncharacterized. The transcript is spliced from 2 exons. The record is from RefSeq and is a predicted model, not a curated record. Lineage: Eukaryota; Viridiplantae; Streptophyta; Magnoliopsida; Nymphaeales; Nymphaeaceae.